GACGAACGCUGGCGGCGUGCCUAACACAUGCAAGUCGAACGCAUCAGUGCUUCGGCGCUGAUGAGUGGCGAACGGGUGAGUAACACGUGAGUAACUUGCCUGGGGGAGGGGGAUAACCAUCUGAAAGGAUGGCUAAUACCCCAUAUUCUCCUUUAUUGCUAGAUAAAGGAGGAAAGGUGGCGUAAGCUGUCGCCCCCGGAGAGGCUCGCGUCCCAUCAGCUAGUUGGUAGGGUAAUGGCUUACCAAGGCUAUGACGGGUAGCUGGUCUGAGAGGAUGGUCAGCCACACUGGGACUGAGACACGGGCCCAGACUCCUACGGGAGGCAGCAGUGAGGAAUCGUUGGGCAAGUGGGCGAAAGCCUGACCCAGCCGACGCCGCGUGGAGGAAGAAGGUCUUCGGAUCGUAAACUCCUGGUUCGGGGAGGAAGAACAAGAGAGAAGUUAAUAGUCUUCUCUCCUCUGGACGGUACUCCCCGGAGAAACGCCGUCCGGCUAAUUACGU
Molecule: ribosomal RNA, 502 nt
Filed under: uncultured bacterium
Lineage: Bacteria
Description: bacterial SSU rRNA
Rfam family: Bacterial small subunit ribosomal RNA
Source: RNAcentral